RNAcentral lists this transfer RNA (82 nucleotides) under Pseudomuriella schumacherensis. Its description in RNAcentral is "tRNA-Tyr". It matches the Rfam family "tRNA". From Rfam's summary of the family: Transfer RNA (tRNA) molecules are approximately 80 nucleotides in length. Their secondary structure includes four short double-helical elements and three loops (D, anti-codon, and T loops). Further hydrogen bonds mediate the characteristic L-shaped molecular structure. tRNAs have two regions of fundamental functional importance: the anti-codon, which is responsible for specific mRNA codon recognition, and the 3' end, to which the tRNAs corresponding amino acid is attached (by aminoacyl-tRNA synthetases). tRNAs cope with the degeneracy of the genetic code in two manners: having more than one tRNA (with a specific anti-codon) for a particular amino acid; and 'wobble' base-pairing, i.e. permitting non-standard base-pairing at the 3rd anti-codon position. The record is from RNAcentral. Lineage: Eukaryota; Viridiplantae; Chlorophyta; Chlorophyceae; Sphaeropleales; Pseudomuriellaceae.
GACACGAUGGCUGAGCGGUCAAAAGCGUCAGUUUGUAAAACUGAUGAUGGUUAUCUACGCAGGUUCAAAUCCUGCUCGUGUC